This 94-nucleotide ribosomal RNA is filed under the name Anaerovirgula multivorans. Its description in RNAcentral is "16S rRNA. Bacterial SSU". It matches the Rfam family "Bacterial small subunit ribosomal RNA", at positions 1 to 95 of the family's 1533-position model. Lineage: Bacteria; Bacillati; Bacillota; Clostridia; Peptostreptococcales; Natronincolaceae. The record is from RNAcentral.
UUUUUAUUAAGAGUUUGAUCCUGGCUCAGGAUGAACGCUGGCGGCGUGCCUAACACAUGCAAGUCGAGCGAACCGAUUUAUUGGAAGCCUUCGG